Molecule: transfer RNA, 68 nt
Filed under: Mimachlamys varia
Lineage: Eukaryota; Metazoa; Mollusca; Bivalvia; Pectinida; Pectinidae
Description: tRNA-Pro
Source: RNAcentral
CGGGAAGAAGUAUAGGUUUUGUACGGUGAGUUUGGGACUCACUAGCCCUCGAUGUCGGGGUUUCCUGU